UUGCAUGUUUUGGCCAUGAGCCAUUAUUGGCCUCUCUAUCACUAUAGAGUGGACAAGUACAAACAUGCUAGAAUAAGACUUAAAACAUGUGGGAGUUGACAGGGCCACCAGUCUUUCAAGGUCAGACUGAGUUGGUAGUAUAAUACUCCAACACCU
This 156-nucleotide small nucleolar RNA is filed under the name Betta splendens (Siamese fighting fish). RNAcentral's name for it is "Small nucleolar RNA U109 (ENSBSLG00000016103.1)". It matches the Rfam family "Small nucleolar RNA U109". Lineage: Eukaryota; Metazoa; Chordata; Actinopteri; Anabantiformes; Osphronemidae. The record is from RNAcentral.